Molecule: ribosomal RNA, 253 nt
Filed under: uncultured bacterium
Lineage: Bacteria
Description: partial 16S ribosomal RNA
Rfam family: Bacterial small subunit ribosomal RNA
Source: RNAcentral
GACGAACCGUGCGAACGUUGUUCGGAAUCACUGGGCUUAAAGGGCGCGUAGGCGGUCUGUCAAGUCCGGGGUGAAAGCCCCCAGCCCAACUGGGGAAGUGCCUCGGAUACUGGCGGACUCGAGGGAGGCAGGGGUCGUGGGAACUUCCGGUGGAGCGGUGAAAUGCGUUGAUAUCGGAAGGAACGCCGGUGGCGAAAGCGCACGACUGGUCCUCUUCUGACGCUGAGGCGCGAAAGCCAGGGGAGCAAACGGG